CCUACGGGCGGCAGCAGUGGGGAAUAUUGCACAAUGGGCGCAAGCCUGAUGUAGCCAUGCCGCGUGUGUGAAGAAGGCCUUCGGGUUGUAAAGCACUUUCAGCGGGGAGGAAGGCGUUAAGGUUAAUAACCUUGUCGAUUGACGUUACCCGCAGAAGAAGCACCGGCUAACUCCGUGCCAGCAGCCGCGGUAAUACGGAGGGUGCAAGCGUUAAUCGGAAUUACUGGGCGUAAAGCGCACGCAGGCGGUCUGUCAAGUCGGAUGUGAAAUCCCCGGGCUCAACCUGGGAACUGCAUUCGAAACUGGCAGGCUAGAGUCUUGUAGAGGGGGGUAGAAUUCCAGGUGUAGCGGUGAAAUGCGUAGAGAUCUGGAGGAAUACCGGUGGCGAAGGCGGCCCCCUGGACAAAGACUGACGCUCAGGUGCGAAAGCGUGGGGAGCAAACAGGAUUAGAUACCCCUGUAGUC
This 465-nucleotide ribosomal RNA is filed under the name uncultured Klebsiella sp. RNAcentral describes it as "bacterial SSU rRNA". It matches the Rfam family "Bacterial small subunit ribosomal RNA", at positions 338 to 795 of the family's 1533-position model. Lineage: Bacteria; Pseudomonadati; Pseudomonadota; Gammaproteobacteria; Enterobacterales; Enterobacteriaceae. The record is from RNAcentral.